RNAcentral lists this ribosomal RNA (904 nucleotides) under Aureobasidium sp. RNAcentral describes it as "partial large subunit ribosomal RNA". It matches the Rfam family "Eukaryotic large subunit ribosomal RNA", at positions 39 to 961 of the family's 3401-position model. Lineage: Eukaryota; Fungi; Ascomycota; Dothideomycetes; Dothideales; Saccotheciaceae. The record is from RNAcentral.
CAUAUCAAUAAGCGGAGGAAAAGAAACCAACAGGGAUUGCCCUAGUAACGGCGAGUGAAGCGGCAACAGCUCAAAUUUGAAAGCUAGCCUUCGGGUUCGCAUUGUAAUUUGUAGAGGAUGAUUUGGGGAAGCCGCCUGUCUAAGUUCCUUGGAACAGGACGUCAUAGAGGGUGAGAAUCCCGUAUGUGACAGGAAAUGGCACCCUAUGUAAAUCUCCUUCGACGAGUCGAGUUGUUUGGGAAUGCAGCUCUAAAUGGGAGGUAAAUUUCUUCUAAAGCUAAAUAUUGGCGAGAGACCGAUAGCGCACAAGUAGAGUGAUCGAAAGAUGAAAAGCACUUUGGAAAGAGAGUUAAAAAGCACGUGAAAUUGUUGAAAGGGAAGCGCUUGCAAUCAGACUUGUUUAAACUGUUCGGCCGGUCUUCUGACCGGUUUACUCAGUUUGGACAGGCCAGCAUCAGUUUCGGCGGCCGGAUAAAGGCUCUGGGAAUGUGGCCUCCACUUCGGUGGAGGUGUUAUAGCCCAGGGUGUAAUACGGCCAGCCGGGACUGAGGUCCGCGCUUCGGCUAGGAUGCUGGCGUAAUGGUUGUAAGCGACCCGUCUUGAAACACGGACCAAGGAGUCUAACAUCUAUGCGAGUGUUCGGGUGUCAAACCCCUGCGCGUAAUGAAAGUGAACGGAGGUGGGAACCCGCAAGGGUGCACCAUCGACCGAUCCUGAUGUCUUCGGAUGGAUUUGAGUAAGAGCAUAGCUGUUGGGACCCGAAAGAUGGUGAACUAUGCCUGAAUAGGGUGAAGCCAGAGGAAACUCUGGUGGAGGCUCGCAGCGGUUCUGACGUGCAAAUCGAUCGUCAAAUUUGGGUAUAGGGGCGAAAGACUAAUCGAACCAUCUAGUAGCUGGUUCCUGC